Molecule: ribosomal RNA, 1219 nt
Filed under: Salmonella enterica
Lineage: Bacteria; Pseudomonadati; Pseudomonadota; Gammaproteobacteria; Enterobacterales; Enterobacteriaceae
Description: partial 23S ribosomal RNA
Rfam family: Bacterial large subunit ribosomal RNA
Source: RNAcentral
UUGGCUUAGGGAUACGUUCGUUGGGUAGGGGAGCGUUCUGUAAGCCUGUGAAGGUGUGUCGUGAGGCAUGCUGGAGGUAUCAGAAGUGCGAAUGCUGACAUAAGUAACGAUAAAGCGGGUGAAAAGCCCGCUCGCCGGAAGACCAAGGGUUCCUGUCCAACGUUAAUCGGGGCAGGGUGAGUCGACCCCUAAGGCGAGGCCGAAAGGCGUAGUCGAUGGGAAACGGGUUAAUAUUCCCGUACUUGGUGUUACUGCGAAGGGGGGACGGAGAAGGCUAUGUUGGCCGGGCGACGGUUGUCCCGGUUUAAGCGUGUAGGUGUGUGUUCCAGGUAAAUCCGGUUCACUUUAACACUGAGGCGUGACGACGAGGCACUACGGUGCUGAAGCAACAAAUGCCCUGCUUCCAGGAAAAGCCUCUAAGCAUCAGGUAACACGAAAUCGUACCCCAAACCGACACAGGUGGUCAGGUAGAGAAUACCAAGGCGCUUGAGAGAACUCGGGUGAAGGAACUAGGCAAAAUGGUGCCGUAACUUCGGGAGAAGGCACGCUGACACGUAGGUGAAGUGAUUUACUCAUGGAGCUGAAGUCAGUCGAAGAUACCAGCUGGCUGCAACUGUUUAUUAAAAACACAGCACUGUGCAAACACGAAAGUGGACGUAUACGGUGUGACGCCUGCCCGGUGCCGGAAGGUUAAUUGAUGGGGUCAGCGUAAGCGAAGCUCCUGAUCGAAGCCCCGGUAAACGGCGGCCGUAACUAUAACGGUCCUAAGGUAGCGAAAUUCCUUGUCGGGUAAGUUCCGACCUGCACGAAUGGCGUAAUGAUGGCCAGGCUGUCUCCACCCGAGACUCAGUGAAAUUGAACUCGCUGUGAAGAUGCAGUGUACCCGCGGCAAGACGGAAAGACCCCGUGAACCUUUACUAUAGCUUGACACUGAACAUUGAGCCUUGAUGUGUAGGAUAGGUGGGAGGCUUUGAAGUGUGGACGCCAGUCUGCAUGGAGCCGACCUUGAAAUACCACCCUUUAAUGUUUGAUGUUCUAACGUGGACCCGUAAUCCGGGUUGCGGACAGUGUCUGGUGGGUAGUUUGACUGGGGCGGUCUCCUCCUAAAGAGUAACGGAGGAGCACGAAGGUUGGCUAAUCCUGGUCGGACAUCAGGAGGUUAGUGCAAUGGCAUAAGCCAGCUUGACUGCGAGCGUGACGGCGCGAGCAGGUGCGAAAG